Irineochytrium annulatum is the source of this 83-nucleotide non-coding RNA. The record is from the annotation of a GenBank genome assembly. NCBI's taxonomy places the organism in Eukaryota, Fungi, Chytridiomycota, Chytridiomycetes, Chytridiales, Chytridiaceae.
GCCCAGCUAGCUCAAUUGGUAGAGCGCGAGACUUUUAUCCUCUGGGCAUCUCGAGGCUGAGGGUUCGACCCCCUCGUUGGGCA